This 545-nucleotide ribosomal RNA is filed under the name uncultured bacterium. RNAcentral describes it as "bacterial SSU rRNA". It matches the Rfam family "Bacterial small subunit ribosomal RNA", at positions 319 to 855 of the family's 1533-position model. The record is from RNAcentral.
CCGGCCCGCCGCCCCCGCCCCCCUACGGGAGGCAGCAGUGGGGAAUUUUGGACAAUGGGCGCAAGCCUGAUCCAGCCAUGCCGCGUGUCUGAAGAAGGCCUUCGGGUUGUAAAGGACUUUUGUCCGGGAGCAAAUGCCUGGUGUUAAUAGCAUCGGGAGCUGAGAGUACCGGAAGAAUAAGCACCGGCUAACUACGUGCCAGCAGCCGCGGUAAUACGUAGGGUGCAAGCGUUAAUCGGAAUUACUGGGCGUAAAGCGUGCGCAGGCGGUUUUGUAAGCCAGAUGUGAAAGCCCCGGGCUCAACCUGGGAACUGCGUUUGGAACUACAAGACUAGAGUGUGUCAGAGGGGGGUGGAAUUCCGCGUGUAGCAGUGAAAUGCGUAGAGAUGCGGAGGAACACCGAUGGCGAAGGCAGCCCCCUGGGAUAACACUGACGCUCAUGCACGAAAGCGUGGGGAGCAAACAGGAUUAGAUACCCUGGUAGUCCACGCCCUAAACGAUGUCAAUUAGCUGUUGGGGGUUAGAAUCCUUGGUAGCGUAGCUAA